UGGGGAAUAUUGCACAAUGGGCGAAAGCCUGAUGCAGCGACGCCGCGUGAGGGAUGACGGCCUUCGGGUUGUAAACCUCUUCGCUAGUGAAGCAGGCCAGCCUUUUUGGGUUGGUUGUACGGUAGCUGGAUAAGAAGCGCCGGCUAACUACGUGCCAGCAGCCGCGGUAAUACGUAGGGCGCGAGCGUUGUCCGGAAUUAUUGGGCGUAAAGAGCUCGUAGGCGGCUGGUCGCGUCUGUCGUGAAAUCCUCUGGCUUAACUGGAGGCUUGCGGUGGGUACGGGCCGGCUUGAGUGCGGUAGGGGAGACUGGAAUUCCUGGUGUAGCGGUGGAAUGCGCAGAUAUCAGGAGGAACACCGGUGGCGAAGGCGGGUCUCUGGGCCGUUACUGACGCUGAGGAGCGAAAGCGUGGGGGAGCAAACAGGAUUAGAUACCC
Molecule: ribosomal RNA, 435 nt
Filed under: uncultured bacterium
Lineage: Bacteria
Description: bacterial SSU rRNA
Rfam family: Bacterial small subunit ribosomal RNA
Source: RNAcentral